UAGGGAAUCUUCCACAAUGGACGCAAGUCUGAUGGAGCAACGCCGCGUGAGUGAAGAAGGUUUUCGGAUCGUAAAGCUCUGUUGUUGGUGAAGAAGGAUAGAGGCAGUAACUGGUCUUUAUUUGACGGUAAUCAACCAGAAAGUCACGGCUAACUACGUGCCAGCAGCCGCGGUAAUACGUAGGUGGCAAGCGUUGUCCGGAUUUAUUGGGCGUAAAGCGAGCGCAGGCGGAAUGAUAAGUCUGAUGUGAACGCCCACGGCUCAACCGUGGAACUGCAUCGGAAACUGUCAUUCUUGAGUGCAGAAGAGGAGAGUGGAAUUCCAUGUGUAGCGGUGGAAUGCGUAGAUAUAUGGAAGAACACCAGUGGCGAAGGCGGCUCUCUGGUCUGCAACUGACGCUGAGGCUCGAAAGCAUGGGUAGCGAACAGG
RNAcentral lists this ribosomal RNA (429 nucleotides) under bacterium. RNAcentral's name for it is "partial 16S ribosomal RNA". It matches the Rfam family "Bacterial small subunit ribosomal RNA", at positions 355 to 776 of the family's 1533-position model. The record is from RNAcentral.